AGAUUGGUGCUUGCAUCAUGAUUUACAUUUGAGUGAGUGGCGAACUGGUGAGUAACACGUGGGAAACCUGCCCAGAAGCGGGGGAUAACACCUGGAAACAGAUGCUAAUACCGCAUAACAACUUGGACCGCAUGGUCCGAGCUUGAAAGAUGGCUUCGGCUAUCACUUUUGGAUGGUCCCGCGGCGUAUUAGCUAGAUGGUGGGGUAACGGCUCACCAUGGCAAUGAUACGUAGCCGACCUGAGAGGGUAAUCGGCCACAUUGGGACUGAGACACGGCCCAAACUCCUACGGGAGGCAGCAGUAGGGAAUCUUCCACAAUGGACGAAAGUCUGAUGGAGCAACGCCGCGUGAGUGAAGAAGGGUUUCGGCUCGUAAAACUCUGUUGUUAAAGAAGAACAUAUCUGAGAGUAACUGUUCAGGUAUUGACGGUAUUUAACCAGAAAGCCACGGCUAACUACGUGCCAGCAGCCGCGGUAAUACGUAGGUGGCAAGCGUUGUCCGGAUUUAUUGGGCGUAAAGCGAGCGCAGGCGGUUUUUUAAGUCUGAUGUGAAAGCCUUCGGCUCAACCGAAGAAGUGCAUCGGAAACUGGGAAACUUGAGUGCAGAAGAGGACAGUGGAACUCCAUGUGUAGCGGUGAAAUGCGUAGAUAUAUGGAAGAACACCAGUGGCGAAGGCGGCUGUCUGGUCUGUAACUGACGCUGAGGCUCGAAAGUAUGGGUAGCAAACAGGAUUAGAUACCCUGGUAGUCCAUACCGUAAACGAUGAAUGCUAAGUGUUGGAGGGUUUCCGCCCUUCAGUGCUGCAGCUAACGCAUUAAGCAUUCCGCCUGGGGAGUACGGCCGCAAGGCUGAAACUCAAAGGAAUUGACGGGGGCCCGCACAAGCGGUGGAGCAUGUGGUUUAAUUCGAAGCUACGCGAAGAACCUUACCAGGUCUUGACAUACUAUGCAAAUCUAAGAGAUUAGACGUUCCCUUCGGGGACAUGGAUACAGGUGGUGCAUGGUUGUCGUCAGCUCGUGUCGUGAGAUGUUGGGUUAAGUCCCGCAACGAGCGCAACCCUUAUUAUCAGUUGCCAGCAUUAAGUUGGGCACUCUGGUGAGACUGCCGGUGACAAACCGGAGGAAGGUGGGGAUGACGUCAAAUCAUCAUGCCCCUUAUGACCUGGGCUACACACGUGCUACAAUGGAUGGUACAACGAGUUGCGAACUCGCGAGAGUAAGCUAAUCUCUUAAAGCCAUUCUCAGUUCGGAUUGUAGGCUGCAACUCGCCUACAUGAAGUCGGAAUCGCUAGUAAUCGCGGAUCAGCAUGCCGCGGUGAAUACGUUCCCGGGCCUUGUACACACCGCCCGUCACACCAUGAGAGUUUGUAACACCC
This 1376-nucleotide ribosomal RNA is filed under the name Lactiplantibacillus plantarum. RNAcentral's name for it is "bacterial SSU rRNA". It matches the Rfam family "Bacterial small subunit ribosomal RNA", at positions 70 to 1422 of the family's 1533-position model. Lineage: Bacteria; Bacillati; Bacillota; Bacilli; Lactobacillales; Lactobacillaceae. The record is from RNAcentral.